Long non-coding RNA from Sapajus apella (tufted capuchin), 6049 nucleotides. RefSeq lists it as uncharacterized. The transcript is spliced from 2 exons. Lineage: Eukaryota; Metazoa; Chordata; Mammalia; Primates; Cebidae. The record is from RefSeq and is a predicted model, not a curated record.
AUAUUUGAGAUACUUUUGUAGCUAACUAUGAAAAAUUUUGGAAAAAACAAAACCAAAAACAAACAAAGAUGGUUUUGGAAUGUACGAAUUCCAGAGGUGAGCAAUGUCUUAGAGGCAGGGAAGUGGAAGCUGAUCCUGAGCACCAAGCAUGGUCCUACGCGGAUACAUUGGGGAGUACAACAUAAAGGAACUGGAAAAACAGUUUGUGUGGGUCACCUUGGCAGCCAGCUUAACUCUAUGAAGGCGCUACUGUGAAACUUUGAGAGUGCUAUUUGAGGCAUUUACUGAUUGCCCAUGUACAACCUAACUCAAUAGUCUAUAGUUUUUAUCUCACGAUUCACCCAGUCUCUUAUAUGUAAUAGACUUCUCUGAGCAACUGGAAAGACAGCCUCUCCUCCAAUGACAACUGCCAUUGUAAGUUGCGAUGAGUAAAGACUUAGAAUGAUUUACCAUGGUGAUUUUUCCAAACACUUGGGAUUUGAUGUAUAUGUCAUUAAUAAUUGUCUUGCUUUUGGCAAAAUGGCCAUAGAAAAGUAGUAACCAUACUGAAUCUUUCAUUUUAUUUUGGUAAGUAAUAUAUUGGCUUGGAUGAGGAAAAAAAAGAAACUCUCCUAUCUUUGUUUGGAUUAUAUCUUUUGGAUCACAGGCUCACCUUUCUCCCUGGUUUAAAUAUAAGAAGCCAUCCUAUUUUUGGAAGUAGUUACUUCUUGUUCUUCACUUGAUUGUUAUAAUAUUCUUAAUGAUUUGGGAAUUAGCAUAUUUAUCUGGUUGUUUAAGUAAGUGUUCAUCAAAGUAAUAAACUCGCUUCUAGGUUUAAGUGUUUCUAUUUAAAAUUCUUUAAGAAAUUCAUCAAAUUGUGUGCGUGUGUGUGUGUGUGUGUGUGUGUGUGUAUUCAUGACACUACUCUUUAAAAAAUACCCAGAGCCCUCAACUGGCAACGAGAGAAGUGUAGAAUAGUGGAUAGGACCUGGCCCUGGAAUGCGAGAGGAAUGGAUUCUACAGGGACUCUGCCGUUUACCAGCUUUGUGAUGUUAGGCAAGUCACAUACCUGUUCUGAGCCUUGAUUUUUCUUCAAGACAAAUUAUCACCCUUUCCUGCCUCCAACUAAAUAUGGUAAUUCUCCUUUAUCUGUGAAGGAUAUGGUCCAAGACCCCCAGUGGGUGCCUGAAACUGCAGCUAGUCCUCAACCUUAUAUAUGCUAUAUCUUUUUGAUCUGAAAACAGAGAUGACAACGAAGUGAUUAAAGAGCAGGUAGUGUAUACAGCAUGGAUAUGCUGGCCAAAGGGAUGAUUCAUGUUCUGGGCAGAAUGGAGUGGGACAGCAGGAGAUUUCAUCACACUACUCAGUGCUGGGUGCAACUUAAAACUUAUGAAUUGUUUCUUUCUGGAAUUUUUCAUUUAAUAUUUUUGGACCCUGGUUGACUGUGGGUAACUAAAACCUUGGGAACUGAAACCAGGGAUAAGCGGGGAAACCAUUGUAUUUAUUGACUGCAAGGUGUGGCACAGUGCUCACACAAUUAUGGGUGCUUCUCUCACAAAGCUUAAAGCCUAAUACGGUAGGGGACAAAUGUUCUCCAGCAGUUUAAGUCACGCUCAAGGAAGGUUCAGGAUUCUAUGAGAGCCCAGGUAAGAGCAUCAAAUGAUACUAGAGGAUAUGAGAAAGCUUCCUAGAGGAGGCUGACAUUUGCACUGAAGUUUGAGUGAAGUAGAAAGAGAAGGUGGCAUGAUAUUUUUCCAAGCAGGGAGAGCAGCAUGGAUGAACACAGAGGCCUGGCACAACUUGCUGUAUCUGGCAGAACGAUGGGAGGCUCUCAGUAGGAGGUGGGAGAGAGGAUAAGCAUGGGAGAGGUGGGAUCUGGGGCUGCAGUGGUGAAGCCUCUUUUAGGCUAAGCUGGCAAUACCACUGCUGCUAAUAAUCACUACCUUUUGUAGACUGAAUUGAAAAUACAAGGUAAGCUCAUUUUUAGAUUUCAAAAAUUGAUAAAAUUAGCAUUGCAGAGUGCCUAGCUUUUUACCAAAUAGUCAUUUCUACUAUGCAUUAUACAAUUUCUCAAAUGUAAACAAGUAUUAGCCAGAUCUGCCGACUUAACUGAGAUUAAUUAACAGUAUCGAGCUGAGGGAUUAUGGAAAUGAUUAUGUCCUUUUGUGAUAUAAAAUUUUACAACUGUUCAUUUAAAUAUUCACCCAAGUGCUUUGAUAAACUGAUCCACAUCUUAGCAUAUUGUCGAGGAUAAUAAGGGUUUACUAGGUAGUAUUUAUCCUGUUUUACUUCUCUUGAGCAUAGACCUUCAGUAGAUUUUUUAUUUCUUGGCACAAUUUUAUAAGCAUUCAAAUUAAAACUAUUUUUCAUGUUUAUUGUAGUAGUAACAUAUGAAAAGUUAAACAGGAAAAUAAAAUAAAACCUUAAAUUCAAAAUUGUAAUGAGAGAGAAGUGCUGACAUUCAGUCCACCAAUAAUUACUGAAUCCAGUAACAUGUUAAGUUCAACCGUUUUUGUAAGCUUUAUUUACUUGGUUUAUUUAACCUUAUGAACUUAGGAAUAAUCAUUUACAAACUUGACAAUAAUACAGUCAGCCCUCCAUAGCUAUGGGUUCUACAUCCAUAGAUUCAACGAACUGGAUAAAAAAUAUUUCAAAAAAAUUGCAUCUGCAUUGAACAUGCAGUGAACAUUGAACUUUUUUUCUUAUUGUUAUUCCCUAAGCAAUACAAUAGGACAGCUAUUUACAUUGUAUUAGAUGUUACAAGUAAUAUAGAGAUGAUAAAGUAAGUGUACAUAGGUUUUAUGCAAAUACUAUACCAUUUUAUAUCAGGGACUUGAGCAUCUGUGGAUUUUGGUAUCCAAAGGCGAUCCUUCAGCCAAUACCCCAUAGACACCAAGAUUCAACUGUAUAGACAAAGGACAUAGGAUAUAGCAUAUAGAGAGUGUAGUUAAUAAAUCGUAUAUAGCAUUUACCGGACUUUGUGGCAAGCUCUUUCUUGACCUCACCUCCAGGGCAAAGCAGUUGGAAGAGGUGAGCCAACAGGAUUUCUGUGAGAGCAGCGGUCCCAGGAGAGGUAGAGCUGGAAGGGCUGUUAUCCAGAAGGUUGUUCAAGAACUCACGGAAUUAAGGAAGAGAGAUAAAAAAGCACGCUGGAAGUUGGAUCUGGUAUCAUGCUGACUAGGGAAGAGAGGUCGUUAACACAAGUCAGAUGCAAACCUGGUGGCUAAGUAAAAAGAAUCUAGGAGCAAAUUGCUGAGUGGGUGGAGUCAACGGAUGAAGAUCUAAAUUUGCACGUGGUCCAUAUUUUUUUUUUUUCCUGUCUCAACAGCUUGGAAAAUCAAGGCUGGACCCUUAAAGGAGCUGCACUGGGAAGGGAAGAUCUGGGGGAAAACACUUGCAAGAUUCAGUUUUUGCAGGCAAGGAGCAAAUUCUGAUAUGACAGGUAAACAGGAAAACAGUCAAAACUUCAGGAACACCCAACUAUUUACUUUUCCCCAACUCACCCUACACUCUCCACGGAGCCUUUUAAUGCUGAAUCCUCUAUCAGAAUGGCUUUCCCUACUUCAUGGAAAAGGCUUUUCAGUGUUCCCUGCUCCUUUCCUGACUGGGAAAGUAAUGAACUCUCUCUCUUUUGGAUUUCUGUAGCAGAAGUUUAUAUAAACACUAGCGGUGGAAGAUGUCCCACCUACCAAGUAUAUGUCUUUGAAGCAUGUGCAAGGUCAAGAAUUUAAAGUGUUCGGUUGUAUUUUUGACUCUACUGCUCACUUGCUGCAUAUUUUGGGCAAAUAAACCUUGGAGCCUCAGUUCCUUGUCAGUGCUGUUAUGGGAAUUUAAUAAUACAGUAGAUAUAAAAUACCAGUCAUAAUGUUAGCAAAAUUUAGGAUGUUUGGUUGGUCAAAUUCAAUGUUUGAAAUUCAUAAUAUAAAUGAACAUGAGUGUAAACUAGUUAUGCACCUUAUAAUGGAUUUUAGGAGCUACCUUGAGCUUAAGAAAGAAGUUUGAUUUCUUAAAUUAUCACACUGCCUUUUUGAUAAAUUCUUUGAUGCCACACAAGGACAAGCCAUUUUCUUCUCUUGGAAGUUUUACUAUUUUAUCACCAUUAUAACAAUAAAAUGGUGACAUUUUAAUUGUAUUCAAUAUAUAAUCCACAAAGUUAUUAAGACAAUUUCAUAAGCGUAUUUGAUUUUCUCAAUGUUGAUUUCUUGCUUCUGAUUUUCAGUUUAUCAUUGCGAUGGAUAAACAUCCUGUUUCCUUCCUUCCUUCCUUCCUUCCUUCCUUCCUUCCUCUCAUUCCUUCCAGCUCAGUUGCAUCAGAUUCCAAUGGUUCUCCAUUCAGGGCCCAAGUGAUACGUGUUGCAUGAGCUCUAUGCUUUAAAACAAUUAAGAAACAACAACAAAAAAAUCCAAGGGAAGAAAAGGCACCAUUUCUGUUGGCAAUUCUCCCACCUCCAUCUGUGCUGCCCAAAAGUGUCUGCUUUCCUGUACUUACAAGACAUUAGUCUUUUGGCACUAUCAUCCAGAGCAAAUAGUGCUGAAUGUAAUAAUAGCAAGUGAUUUGGCAUGUGCAUCAAUGUGAAAAUAGAGUUUACAAAUGCGCAGUAAUGUAUCCUGCAAGAAUACAUCAUCUUUUUAAAUGUGUUUCUUGAACAUACUUAUGUUCAGUGAGAAAAACCACAUCCAUUAUUAGAAAGGUAGAGUGUCUCUUCAUAUUUGGGGAAAAUUCUUGAUUAGAUGAUUGCUAUAUUUAGCCAUGGAAGCUAACAUCUCACUUAAGGGGAGAAUGCCCUCUGUUCAGGGAGAAAACCAAGAAUUGAAGUGUUUUAAGUUCCCUGCUUAAAAGGAGAAAUAAUUGGUAGGAAACCAAAGGAAGUGGGUAAAAGAAUCAAACAGUAACAUUCAGCUACAUUCAGAGCUUGAAACUGGAAAAUAAAAAUCAAUAGAAUAUUUAUCAUUCAUGCUUUUCUUUUUCUAAAGCAUUCCUUCUUUCCUUGACCAAGUCAGGAUACUAGCUCAGCUGAUGGAGGUCUAUGGAACCAAGCAAAGAGAUUAAUUAAUGAGGAUUGUGUGUGUGUUGCUGCUGAUGGUGGUGGGAAGGUGGGUGUUUCAGGAGAUGGAAAAUCCAAGACCAGAGGGAGAAAAAAUAAGACUAAAAAAGGCUAAAGUCUAAGAAGCCAGAAGUGUAGGCCUUUUUCUUUUUUCUCCAACCUGGAGAUUCAGGGAGAAAAGAGCAAGAAUAAAGCAGAUUGAUGGGAAACACUGACAGUGUUGAUAAUACACCCAAUGUAGAACAAGCAUUGCUAUUCACAAUUCAUUUUUAUUUGCUCCUGGGGUAUAAUAAAGAGUGAAUCAAUGGAAUUGAAAGGUCCAGGAACAUUUUGAAACUUCAUUCAUUUAGUCAUUUAUUGACUGCUUCACUAAUGACUUCAGAAUAUAAUUACUCUAUGCCUACUAUAUGCUGGGUGCAAUGCUAUGUGAUAGGAAUACUACACCUGUCUUAGCCUAUUCAGGAUUCUAUAACAGAAUAGCACAAACUUGAUGACUUAUAAACAAUAUAAAUUUACUUAUCAUAGUUCUGAAGGUGGGUAAGUCCAAAAUUAAGAUUGCUGGUAGAUUUGGUGUCUAGUGAGUGCUUACUUCUGUGUCCACAGGAAGCAAUCUUCCAGCUGUAAUUUCACAUGGCAGAAAAGGCAAGAAGCUCUCUGGGGUUUCUUUUAUAAUGGCUCUAAUUCUAUUCAUAAUUGCUUUGCCCUCAUGACCUAAUCGCUGCUCAGAGUCUCCACAUCCAAACACUAUUACUUUGGGAAUUAAGUUUCACUAUAUAAAUUUUGGGUGAAUACAAACAUUCAGUCUAUAGCACUGCCUUUAUAGAGAGACAGAUAUAUAUAAAUAAAUGUCAGACAUUAAUAAAAACACCAAAAAUGCUAUGAAGAUUAUGAGAAGGUUUAUCAUGAGAUACUUUAACUGACUUUUGAAGGAUAAAUGAGAGUUUCCUAAGCUAAAAAAAAAGUGAGCCCAAAGUUUUUAUCCAAUCUCAUAGCUCUGUGAGAUUGCAUUCAUCCCUUCUUCUUUAU